This 497-nucleotide ribosomal RNA is filed under the name uncultured bacterium. RNAcentral's name for it is "partial 16S ribosomal RNA". It matches the Rfam family "Bacterial small subunit ribosomal RNA", at positions 28 to 507 of the family's 1533-position model. The record is from RNAcentral.
GAUGAACGCUGGCGACGUGCCUAAUACAUGCAAGUAGAACGCUGAAGCUUGGUGCUUGCCCCGAGCGGAUGAGUUGCGAACGGGUGAGUAACGCGUAGGUAACCUGCCUCUUAGCGGGGGAUAACUAUUGGAAACGAUAGCUAAUACCGCAUAAAAGUCGAUAUCGCAUGAUAUUGAUUUGAAAGGUGCAAUUGCAUCACUAAGAGAUGGACCUGCGUUGUAUUAGCUAGUUGGUGAGGUAACGGCUCACCAAGGCGACGAUACAUAGCCGACCUGAGAGGGUGAUCGGCCACACUGGGACUGAGACACGGCCCAGACUCCUACGGGAGGCAGCAGUAGGGAAUCUUCGGCAAUGGGGGCAACCCUGACCGAGCAACGCCGCGUGAGUGAAGAAGGUUUUCGGAUCGUAAAGCUCGGUUGUAAGAGAAGAACGAGUGUGAGAGUGGAAAGUUCACACUGUGACGGUAACUUACCAGAAAGGGACGGCUAACUACGUG